RNAcentral lists this long non-coding RNA (550 nucleotides) under Salmo salar (Atlantic salmon). Its description in RNAcentral is "lncRNA (ENSSSAG00000121597.1)". The record is from RNAcentral. Lineage: Eukaryota; Metazoa; Chordata; Actinopteri; Salmoniformes; Salmonidae.
CCUUUCCCUAUACAACUGACUAGGUAUCCCCCUUUCCCUAUACAACUGACUAGGUAUCCCCCUUUCCCUAUACAACUGACUAGGUAUCCCCCUUUCCCUUUACAACUGACUAGGUAUCCCCCUUUCCCUAUACAACUGACUAGGUAUCCCCUUUCCCUAUACAACUGACUAGGUAUCCCCCUUUCCCUAUACAACUGACUAGGUAUCCCCCUUUCCCUAUACAACUGACUAGGUAUCCCCCUUUCCCUAUACAACUGACUAGGUAUCCCGUUUCCCUUUCCUUGUUUGUGAAAAGGGGUGUGUCUUCUGGGGGUGUGUGUGCUGCUAGUUUAGUUCAGGUCUAUAUACUCUUAUUUUGUUACUUUAGUGAAGUUUGACUGUGGUAACAUUUUACUGCAUACCGUCAUACAAACAAGCCCUUACAUUCUUUACUCAACAGGUGUAUUUUAUUCCCAAUUUACUAUAAAAACAACUUUAAUCUCAUUAAGAAUCAGAUGUUAUUUUAUAUUUUACAUUUUCUGGAUAGUUUGUGUUACAGUGCCAUUUAGAA